This 250-nucleotide ribosomal RNA is filed under the name uncultured bacterium. RNAcentral describes it as "partial 16S ribosomal RNA". It matches the Rfam family "Bacterial small subunit ribosomal RNA", at positions 524 to 773 of the family's 1533-position model. The record is from RNAcentral.
UACGUAGGUGGCGAGCGUUAUCCGGAUUUACUGGGCGUAAAGGGAGCGUAGGCGGAUGAUUAAGUGGGAUGUGAAAUACCCGGGCUCAACUUGGGUGCUGCAUUCCAAACUGGUUAUCUAGAGUGCAGGAGAGGAGAGUGGAAUUCCUAGUGUAGCGGUGAAAUGCGUAGAGAUUAGGAAGAACACCAGUGGCGAAGGCGACUCUCUGGACUGUAACUGACGCUGAGGCUCGAAAGCGUGGGGAGCAAAC